Lathyrus oleraceus (garden pea) is the source of this 590-nucleotide long non-coding RNA. RefSeq lists it as uncharacterized. The transcript is spliced from 5 exons. The record is from RefSeq and is a predicted model, not a curated record. Lineage: Eukaryota; Viridiplantae; Streptophyta; Magnoliopsida; Fabales; Fabaceae.
CAUCUUUCUAGGGUUUCAGAUUUGCUUCCAGUAAUCAAAAGGGUAUGCUCUUGGGAGUGCUUUAAGGGGCUCAGUUUGUUUGCCUCAAAUUGGUACCCAAUCUGAAGAGGAGGUUUGUUGGAAAAAAAUGAAUCAGUUCCUGAAUCAAAAGCUGGAACUCUGGGGAGAGAAGCUUAUCAGCUUCGUCCAAAACCAGCAUCGAGCAAUGCUUAAGAAUGCAAACACACUUCUUAGUAAGAUCCAGUAUCCUUUCCAGCCUUGGUCAAGAAGGGCUUGGUGGUUAUCCACUGUACUUAUAUGGGCAAACAGCACUUGUUCCCUUCUUUAGUAGGAACUCCUUCAUUUUACUGGAUUUUAAACUCUUCUAACCUAGAUACUUCCUCCUCCACACAUUUAAUGAAAUCCGCGGAUAAGGUGUAUCCAUCAGGUUCGAGAGCUCCAACAUUGUUAUGGCAAGACCUUGGAAACUAUUUCCUGAGCUGGUGGUUGCAUUGAAAAGUCCAGAGGUGGGAAUAUUUUCUCGGCAGCUCGACGAGGUUGGAGGGUCAUCUGUGUGUAGACCUCAUCGGUUUCAGGGUCAGCAUGGCGAG